RNAcentral lists this ribosomal RNA (516 nucleotides) under uncultured bacterium. Its description in RNAcentral is "bacterial SSU rRNA". It matches the Rfam family "Bacterial small subunit ribosomal RNA", at positions 47 to 518 of the family's 1533-position model. The record is from RNAcentral.
CCUAAGACAUGCAAGUCGAACGAAGUGUACCGAUGAAGCUUGGAGUGCUUGCACAAAAGCGGAUUCGGAUCCGCACUUAGUGGCAGACGGGUGAGUAACACGUGGGUAAUCUACUUCGGAGACUGGGAUAACUAUUAGAAAUGAUAGCUAAUACCGGAUAAUUCGUAAUCUGUAUAACUGAUUAUGCUAAAAGGAGCUUCGGCUUCACUUCGAGAUGAGCUUGCGGUGUAUUAGCUAGUUGGUGGGGCAAUGGCCUACCAAGGCAACGAUGCAUAGCCGGACUGAGAGGUUGAACGGCCACAUUGGGACUGAGACACGGCCCAGACUCCUACGGGAGACAGCAGUUAGGAAUAUUCGUCAAUGGAGGAAACUCUGAACGAGCAAUGCCGCGUGAGUGAUGACGGUCUUUAUGAUUGUAAAACUCUGUUGUAAAGGAAGAACCCUUACCAUAGGUAAUGAUGGUAAGCUGACGGUACUUUACCAGAAAGCCCCGGCUAACUACGUGCCAGCAGCUGC